This 217-nucleotide non-coding RNA is filed under the name Absidia glauca. RNAcentral describes it as "Eukaryotic small subunit ribosomal RNA". It matches the Rfam family "Eukaryotic small subunit ribosomal RNA", at positions 78 to 295 of the family's 1831-position model. The record is from Rfam by way of RNAcentral. Lineage: Eukaryota; Fungi; Mucoromycota; Mucoromycetes; Mucorales; Cunninghamellaceae.
ACAGCGAAACUGCGAAUGGCUCAUUAAAUCAGUUAUGAUCUACAUGACAAAUACUUUACUACUGGAUAACCGUGGUAAUUCUAGAGCUAAUACAUGCAGAAAAGGCCUGACUUCGGGAGGGCUGCACUUAUUAGAUCAAAACCAUCCUGGGUAAAACCAGUUCUAUGGUGAUUCAUAAUAAUUAAGCUGAUCGCAUGGCCUUGCGCCGGCGACGGUA